GACGAACGCUGGCGGCGUGCUUAACACAUGCAAGUCGAACGGAAAGGCCCUGCUUUUGUGGGGUGCUCGAGUGGCGAACGGGUGAGUAACACGUGAGUAACCUGCCCUUGACUUUGGGAUAACUUCAGGAAACUGGGGCUAAUACCGGAUAGGAGCUCCUGCUGCAUGGUGGGGGUUGGAAAGUUUCGGCGGUUGGGGAUGGACUCGCGGCUUAUCAGCUUGUUGGUGGGGUAGUGGCUUACCAAGGCUUUGACGGGUAGCCGGCCUGAGAGGGUGACCGGCCACAUUGGGACUGAGAUACGGCCCAGACUCCUACGGGAGGCAGCAGUGGGGAAUAUUGCACAAUGGGCGGAAGCCUGAUGCAGCAACGCCGCGUGCGGGAUGACGGCCUUCGGGUUGUAAACCGCUUUCGCCUGUGACGAAGCGUGAGUGACGGUAAUGGGUAAAGAAGCACCGGCUAACUACGUGCCAGCAGCCGCGGUGAUACGUAGGGUGCGAGCGUUGUCCGGAUUUAUUGGGCGUAAAGGGCUCGUAGGUGGUUGAUCGCGUCGGAAGUGUAAUCUUGGGGCUUAACCCUGAGCGUGCUUUCGAUACGGGUUGACUUGAGGAAGGUAGGGGAGAAUGGAAUUCCUGGUGGAGCGGUGGAAUGCGCAGAUAUCAGGAGGAACACCAGUGGCGAAGGCGGUUCUCUGGGCCUUUCCUGACGCUGAGGAGCGAAAGCGUGGGGAGCGAACAGGCUUAGAUACCCUGGUAGUCCACGCUGUAAACGGUGGGUACUAGGUGUGGGGUCCAUUCCACGGGUUCCGUGCCGUAGCUAACGCUUUAAGUACCCCGCCUGGGGAGUACGGCCGCAAGGCUAAAACUCAAAGGAAUUGGCGGGGCCCCGCACAAGCGGCGGAGCAUGCGGAUUAAUUCGAUGCAACGCGUAGAACCUUACCUGGGUUUGACAUGGAUCGGGAGCGCUCAGAGAUGGGUGUGCCUCUUUCGGGGUCGGUUCACAGGUGGUGCAUGGCUGUCGUCAGCUCGUGUCGUGAGAUGUUGGGUUAAGUCCCGCAACGAGCGCAACCCUUGUUCACUGUUGCCAGCACGUUAUGGUGGGGACUCAGUGGAGACCGCCGGGGUCAACUCGGAGGAAGGUGGGGAUGACGUCAAGUCAUCAUGCCCCUUAUGUCCAGGGCUUCACGCAUGCUACAAUGGCUGGUACAGAGAGUGGCGAGCCUGUGAGGGUGAGCGAAUCUCGGAAAGCCGGUCUCAGUUCGGAUUGGGGUCUGCAACUCGACCUCAUGAAGUCGGAGUCGCUAGUAAUCGCAGAUCAGCAACGCUGCGGUGAAUACGUUCCCGGGGCU
RNAcentral lists this ribosomal RNA (1346 nucleotides) under uncultured bacterium. RNAcentral describes it as "bacterial SSU rRNA". It matches the Rfam family "Bacterial small subunit ribosomal RNA", at positions 28 to 1381 of the family's 1533-position model. The record is from RNAcentral.